This 492-nucleotide ribosomal RNA is filed under the name uncultured bacterium. RNAcentral describes it as "partial 16S ribosomal RNA". It matches the Rfam family "Bacterial small subunit ribosomal RNA", at positions 28 to 507 of the family's 1533-position model. The record is from RNAcentral.
GAUGGACGCUAGCUACAGGCUUAACACAUGCAAGUCGAGGGGAAACGACAUCGAAAGCUUGCUUUUGAUGGGCGUCGACCGGCGCACGGGUGAGUAACGCGUAUCCAACCUGCCCACCACUUGGGGAUAACCUUGCGAAAGUAAGACUAAUACCCAAUGAUAUCUCUAGAAGACAUCUGAAAGAGAUUAAAGAUUUAUCGGUGAUGGAUGGGGAUGCGUCUGAUUAGCUUGUUGGCGGGGUAACGGCCCACCAAGGCAACGAUCAGUAGGGGUUCUGAGAGGAAGGUCCCCCACAUUGGAACUGAGACACGGUCCAAACUCCUACGGGAGGCAGCAGUGAGGAAUAUUGGUCAAUGGACGAGAGUCUGAACCAGCCAAGUAGCGUGCAGGAAGACGGCCCUAUGGGUGGUAAACUGCUUUUAUAAGGGAAUAAAGUGAGUCUCGUGAGACUUUUUGCAGGUACCUUAUGAAUAAGGACCGGCUAAUUCCGUG